Molecule: ribosomal RNA, 1300 nt
Filed under: uncultured Chondrostereum
Lineage: Eukaryota; Fungi; Basidiomycota; Agaricomycetes; Agaricales; Schizophyllaceae
Description: eukaryotic LSU rRNA
Rfam family: Eukaryotic large subunit ribosomal RNA (bases 636-1300)
Source: RNAcentral
AAGGAUCAUUAUUGAAUGUACUUGCAAUAGGUUGAAGCUGACUUUUCGGAGUAUGUGCUCGCCUUUUGUAACUUACUACUUUUCCACUUGUGAACCUUUGUAGACUAUGAAUGAAAUAAACUCAUCUGAAAAUGAUGGUUAGAGAGGUUUGUUCUUACAGAGCAUCCUUUUGUUAGUAGUUCAUAGUCUAUGUUAUAUUUACCCUUGAUUGAAUGUUAAUGAAUGUCAUUUUACUGGUCUUUGACCUUUAAACUUAAUACAACUUUCAGCAACGGAUCUCUUGGCUCUCGCAUCGAUGAAGAGCGCAGCGAAAUGCGAUAAGUAAUGUGAAUUGCAGAAUUCAGUGAAUCAUCGAAUCUUUGAACGCACCUUGCGCUCCUUGGUAUUCCGAGGAGCAUGCCUGUUUGAGUGUCAUUAAAUUCUCAACCUUAUCAGUUUUUUUUAUUAAAUUGGUUCAAGGCUUGGAUUUUGGGAGUUGCAGGCUUCUCUUUUGAAGUCAGCUCUUCUUAAAUGUAUUAGUGGAGACUUGUAACCGUCGCCUUGGUGUGAUAAUUAUCUGCGCCUUGGUGUAUUGGUGACUAGUAAUGUCUUUGCUUAUAACAGUCCAUUAGAUUGGACAAUCACUUUAUGACUUUUGACCUCAAAUCAGGUAGGACUACCCGCUGAACUUAAGCAUAUCAAUAAGCGGAGGAAAAGAAACUAACCAGGAUUCCCCUAGUAACUGCGAGUGAAGCGGGAAGAGCUCAAAUUUAAAAUCUGGCAGUCUUUGAUUGUCCGAGUUGUAAUUUAGAGAAGUGUUACCCGCGCCGGACCGUGUACAAGUCUCCUGGAAGGGGGCAUCAUAGAGGGUGAGAAUCCCGUCUUUGACAUGGACUACCGGGGCUUUGUGGUAUGCUCUCAAAGAGUCGAGUUGUUUGGGAAUGCAGCUCUAAAUGGGUGGUAAAUUCCAUCUAAAGCUAAAUAUUGGCGAGAGACCGAUAGCGAACAAGUACCGUGAGGGAAAGAUGAAAAGAACUUUGGAAAGAGAGUUAAACAGUACGUGAAAUUGCUGAAAGGGAAACGCUUGAAGUCAGUCGCAUUAGCUGGGGAUCAACCUUUCUUUUGAUUGGUGUACUUCCUAGUUGAUGGGUCAACAUCAGUUUUGACUGUUGGAUAAAGGUUGGGGGAAUGUGGCAUCUUCGGAUGUGUUAUAGCCCUUGAUUGUAUACAACAGUUGGGACUGAGGAAUUCAGCACGCCGCAAGGCCGGGUUUUUAACCACGUACGUGCUUAGGAUGUUGACAUAAUGGCUUUAAUCGACC